RNAcentral lists this ribosomal RNA (253 nucleotides) under uncultured bacterium. RNAcentral's name for it is "partial 16S ribosomal RNA". It matches the Rfam family "Bacterial small subunit ribosomal RNA", at positions 524 to 776 of the family's 1533-position model. The record is from RNAcentral.
UACGGGGGGGGCAAGCGUUGUUCGGAAUUACUGGGCGUAAAGGGCUCGUAGGCGGCCAACUAAGUCGGAUGUGAAAUCCCCAGGCUCAACUUGGGAACUGCAUCCGAUACUGGAUGGCUUGAAUUCGGGAGAGGGAUGCAGAAUUCCAGGUGUAGCGGUGAAAUGCGUAGAUAUCUGGAGGAAUACCGGUGGCGAAUGCGGCAUCCUGGACCGACAUUGACGCUGAGGAGCGAAAGCUAGGGGAGCAAACGGG